This 27-nucleotide non-coding RNA is filed under the name Mus musculus (house mouse). Lineage: Eukaryota; Metazoa; Chordata; Mammalia; Rodentia; Muridae. The record is from RNAcentral.
UUUGAUGUUUACAUGCCUGGACCUCUU